UGAGUCGGUCGCAGAAUGAGCUUGGGCCCGGACGGAGCUUGCCGCCUCCAACAGUGUCUGCCUCCGCCACCCCCGACCUCAAUCGAUGCAGCUGCCGCCUCUAAACUGCAGCCUCACGCCUCAUCAUCAACACCGGUUUCAAUGCAGUGCCCAAUGGGAGUUUAUAGCUUCAAUGACAACUUACAAAUACUAAAAACAGUUGACUCAGUUGGAUAACUGAUGAACCGGAAGGACAUCGAGGAAUGACAAUGGGUUGAAGUUCUUGGAGCCUUCCCAUAUUCCAGUGGGAUGAUCACAGGAAUAACUUGAGAAUGUUCAAACUCAUCAAACUGGAAGUGAGUUGUUUAUUCAUAAGCUGAAAGAUUCGUUAUCUGAAUGAGAAUGGGAAUUGGAAUGUCAAUCAUAAGGAUCUUGGCUGAUUAUUCAGUAAUAAUAGAAUAUUUUUCAUGAUUAUUUUAAGAUCGACUUUCCCAAAAGAAGAGCCUGAAACUGAGCAGCUGGAUAUCUAAAUACAGCAACUUUAAUUUGAAAGAGCUCGGCCAUAGUUGUGGUUGAGAUUCCACAGAAUAAACUUGCUCUACAUCUUGCAAAGACGUCAACCCAACAGUCAACUUCAAGUCAACCAUCUCAUUCAAGAAAACUCAUAGAAGCCAUCUGGAGAGCCACAAUAUCCACUUUAUUAGGAUAGUGUUUCACAUAAAUAACCAUCAUGGAUAUGAAAAGUGAUAGGUAAAAUAAAAAUAGUAAUCAAAUGAA
Long non-coding RNA from Nilaparvata lugens (brown planthopper), 756 nucleotides. RefSeq lists it as uncharacterized. The record is from RefSeq and is a predicted model, not a curated record. The transcript is spliced from 6 exons. Lineage: Eukaryota; Metazoa; Arthropoda; Insecta; Hemiptera; Delphacidae.